RNAcentral lists this ribosomal RNA (466 nucleotides) under uncultured bacterium. RNAcentral's name for it is "partial 16S ribosomal RNA". It matches the Rfam family "Bacterial small subunit ribosomal RNA", at positions 36 to 507 of the family's 1533-position model. The record is from RNAcentral.
UCUUCCCUCUGUCGGCGUGCUUAACACAUGCAAGUCGAACGAUGAAGCCCAGCUUGCUGGGUGGAUUAGUGGCGAACGGGUGAGUAACACGUGAGUAACCUGCCCUUAACUCUGGGAUAAGCCUGGGAAACUGGGUCUAAUACCGGAUAGGAGCGUCCACCGCAUGGUGGGUGUUGGAAAGAUUUAUCGGUUUUGGAUGGACUCGCGGCCUAUCAGCUUGUUGGUGAGGUAAUGGCUCACCAAGGCGACGACGGGUAGCCGGCCUGAGAGGGUGACCGGCCACACUGGGACUGAGACACGGCCCAGACUCCUACGGGAGGCAGCAGUGGGGAAUAUUGCACAAUGGGCGCAAGCCUGAUGCAGCGACGCCGCGUGAGGGAUGACGGCCUUCGGGUUGUAAACCUCUUUCAGUAGGGAAGAAGCGAAAGUGACGGUACCUGCAGAAGAAGCACCGGCUAACUACGUG